ACAGGGCAUGGUGGCACUCACCUAUAGUUCCAGCUACUGGGGAGGCUGAGACUUGAGGAUCACUUGAGCCCAGGAGUUCUGAGUUGUAGAGUGCUAUGCCAAUAGUGUCUUCACUAAGUUACACAUCAAUAUGGUGACUUCCUGGGAGCAGGGGACCACCGUGUUGCCCAAGGAGGGGUGAACUGGCCUAGGUUGGAAAUGCAGCAGGUCAAAACUCCUCUACUGAUCAGAAUUAUGUGUUUUAAGACUGAGGUUCAGGAUAAUUCACCAUGAGUGAUGAUUAGAGAACUUGACCU
RNAcentral lists this signal recognition particle RNA (296 nucleotides) under Erinaceus europaeus (western European hedgehog). RNAcentral describes it as "Metazoan signal recognition particle RNA". It matches the Rfam family "Metazoan signal recognition particle RNA". From Rfam's summary of the family: The signal recognition particle (SRP) is a universally conserved ribonucleoprotein. It is involved in the co-translational targeting of proteins to membranes. The eukaryotic SRP consists of a 300-nucleotide 7S RNA and six proteins: SRPs 72, 68, 54, 19, 14, and 9. The record is from Rfam by way of RNAcentral. Lineage: Eukaryota; Metazoa; Chordata; Mammalia; Eulipotyphla; Erinaceidae.